This is a long non-coding RNA of Oncorhynchus tshawytscha (Chinook salmon), 1782 nucleotides long. NCBI's taxonomy places the organism in Eukaryota, Metazoa, Chordata, Actinopteri, Salmoniformes, Salmonidae. The record is from Ensembl.
UGCCCAUUCAAACAGUACAUGCCAAGCAAACUGUCUAAAUAUGGAAUAAAGAUAUGGGCUGCAUGUGAUGCCAGGACAAGUUAUGCCUGGAACCUGCUGACGGUGUUCCCGAAAGGAGCCAGGGGAAGCGGGUGGUCCUGGAAAUGACUGCAGGUCUCCAGUGGCACAGCAUAACAUGUGACAAUUUCUGCAAUUUCUGCUCUUGGUCAGGAGCUGCUCCAAAAAAAAUGACCAUGUUGGGGACUGUCAGAAGGUACAAGCCUGAGUUACCCACUGCUUUACUCACUACCAAGGACAGGGAUUGUUUUUCCUCUAAAUCUGCCUUCACCGAUACACAGAUUUGUGUGUCCUACUGCCCGAAGAAAAAGAAGAAUGUGCUCCUGAUGACAACUCUGCACAGCGAUGCCUCUGUGAGUAUCAGGGGGGACAGGAAGCCCAAAACUGUCCUGGAUUACAACAGGAACAAAGGGGGAGUUGACAACCUUGAUGAGGUGACUGGCACAUACUCUUGUAAGAGGAUGACAGCACGUUGGCACAUGGUGUUCUUCAAUAUCCUAGAUGUGUCGGCCUACAAGGCGUUUGUGGUGUGGAUGGAGGUGAUUUCAGGCUGGAAGCAGGGGAAAUUCUUCAAGAGGAGACUAUUCCUAGAAGAGUUGGGGAAAGCCAUGGUGGCACCCCUCAUUCAAAGGCACAAACACCUUCCUCUAAAACCAUCCUCUGCUGGAUUGGUGAGAGAUAUACAAGGGAGCAAGAUCUACGGCCGCCAGAGACAGAAGAGACAAAAGGAAGAGGUGCAAUCUGUGUGCACCAAGGGAUGUCAAAACGAGCAUUAUGUACCAUAAAUGUACAUGCAGCAACCACCACGUAUUGUACAACAUGUGCAUGAGAACCCAAAAAAUGUAACCACCAUUGAUUGACAGAUUGUGAACGUUUUCAUGUUUUUGUUAUUGUUGGUAAUACUGUUAUUGUUACUGUUGUUAUUUAAUGUGUUCAGACAUUCAUUUUAUAAUAUGGUAAAGUUUUCAUAUGUUGUUUUGGAAAUGUCCUUUCUUUACUAAUAAAAUCAUACCGGUCAGUUUUGACCGGGAACACAACAGAUGUUAUUUUGUGCGACUUUUAAAAAAAAUGAACUGGUUUCAAAACAAAUGUUCUUGUUAAACAUUGACACAAGUAGUCUGUGAUAAAUAGCACAAUAUGUUUCAUCUGCAUAUUUGUUAUAGUCAAAAUAAUCCAUACAUUAUGCUUUUUUACUCAAAAACUGUCACCCCCUGACCUUAGUUAUCUUUGUUUUCUUUAUUGUUUUGGUUAGGUCAGGGUGUGACGAGGUUGGUAUGUCUGUUUUGUCUUGUCUAAGGUUUUUGUAUAUCUAUGGGGUUUUGGUAUGUCUAGGUAAAUGUAGGUCUAUGGUGGCCUGAAUUGGUUCCCAAUCAGAGGCAGCUGUUUAUCGUUGUCUCUGAUUGGGGAUCCUAUUUAGGUUGCCAUUUUCCAUUUUGGUUUUGUGGGUUAUUGUCUAUGUGUAGUUGCCUGUCAGCACUCGUGUUGAAUAGCGUCAUGGUCGUGUUGUUGUUGUUGUUGUUGUUGUUGUUGUUGUUGUUGUUGUUGUUGUUGUUGUUAGUUUGUUUAGUGUUGUUCGUGUAAUAAAAGAAGAAUGUAUUCGUAUCACGCUGCGCCUUGGUCUCCUCGUUAUGACGAACAUGACAAAAACGAGUUGUAUGAGCUCAGGUCAAUGAGGCCUACAAGCCAUAAAUAGCGAAUAGAAGUUCAAAACUUGUAAUGGUCACA